UGCCUACGGGGGGCAGCAGUAGGGAAUAUUAGAAAUGGACGAAAGUCUGAUCUAGCAACACCGCGUGUGCGAAGAAGGCCUUCAGGUUGUAAAGCACUUUUUGGAAGGAUUAGGAAGGAAUGUACUUCCAGAAUAAGUCUCGGCUAACUACGUGCCAGCAGCCGCGGUAACACGUAGGAGGCAAACGUUAUCCGGAUUUACUGGGCGUAAAGCGCGUGUAGGUGGUUCUGUAAGUAGGGCGUGAAAGCUCCUGGCUCAACUGGGAGAGGCCGUUCUAAACUGCAGAGCUAGAGGAUGGUAGAGGGAGGUGGAAUUCCGGGUGUAGCGGUGGAAUGCGCAGAUAUCCGGAGGAACACCAGUGGCGAAAGCGGCCUCCUGGACCAUUCCUGACACUCAGACGCGAAAGCUAGGGUAGCAAACGGGAUUAGAUACCCUAGUAGUC
Molecule: ribosomal RNA, 442 nt
Filed under: uncultured bacterium
Lineage: Bacteria
Description: bacterial SSU rRNA
Rfam family: Bacterial small subunit ribosomal RNA
Source: RNAcentral